GCGCUUUUAGUUUAGUUCGGUGGGUCUCCAAAACCCAAUGUCGUAGGUUUAAAUCCUACAGAGCAUG
Gossypium hirsutum (cotton) is the source of this 67-nucleotide non-coding RNA. The record is from Rfam. Lineage: Eukaryota; Viridiplantae; Streptophyta; Magnoliopsida; Malvales; Malvaceae.